RNAcentral lists this long non-coding RNA (2105 nucleotides) under Homo sapiens (human). Its description in RNAcentral is "HSALNT0359274". Lineage: Eukaryota; Metazoa; Chordata; Mammalia; Primates; Hominidae. The record is from RNAcentral.
UUAAUGUGGAAGAUGCUGGGAAGCAGAGAUCAGAUCCCUCUUCAGAGAAGCCUUUGGGCUGCACUUGAUGGGGAUGUUGUUGGCCUCUUGCAGGCAUGUCCUCAGCUGCAAAGAUCCUCCUUGCCCAAGGUCACUUUCCCAAGGAUGCAAGGACUGAGGGAUGCUGGAGUAUAAAGGCCUGGCCAUCUUGGCCCAAGUCAAGACAACUCAGAGGAGUCAUUCUAGUUCCAGAGCUCCUGCCAUGCUGGCUCUACAGCUCAACUCCUUUUCUGCCCCCCUUGCUGCCUUCCCACCCUUCAAAGGGCAUUCCCUAAUAAACAUCCUGGAUACAAAACUACACCUGGGAGUCAGCUUCCCAGGGAACCCAACCUGUGACAAGUACAUUUUCUACUUGUUUAUUAUGUCAUAAAAUUCACAGACUCUGGAACUUUGCUUGUGGAAGCAGGGAUGAUCCCUUGAAUGCUGUAAGACCCAGAAAGUGGUAGAGACACAGAAGAAAAAACUAGGCUUUUAAUAAAAUGGGAGAGACAGAUACAAACCAGCAUGUAUGUGAUGCAGUUUCAGUUUCUGAACAAAAACAAUAAAUACAUAAAAGGUCAGCAUGGCCAGUGAAACUGAAAGCUAAGAACUCAGAUGAGGCAAUCACAGAGGGUGAUGAAAGAGAAGAACAUCUGAGAGAGGAGGAGAACAAGAAUGGCCUGGCAAGAAAAGGAAGAAGACUAAUACGAAACACACUCAGCCAAAGACCAUGGGGUAGAAAUAACCCAUCUGAAGAAGGGCUCUUCAUUGCACAAAACUACAUCCAAUCCUUAAGAGGUACUGCCCCGUGGUAUGACAAGGCCAAAACGUCAUCCUGGCAAUUGCUGCUAAUUAAACUCAGGAUUGAUUCAAUGCUACUGAAUAGGCCAGGGAGAUUCCCAUGGUGCUGCCACUAAUCAGGGCCUUUACAGAAAACUCCCAAGAAGAUCGAAGGACAGAGACAAGCUUGAACUCUGCAGCCCGUAGGCAGGUCUGCCUUCUAGAGAGAAAGCCAGUGAUGCUGCUUUGCCAAUGGUCAUGCUGAAAUAGUGGUUUGGGGUGACCUCCAGGAGAGUAGGGGUACUAGGGGUAGGUAAGGAGGGUGACUGAAAUUUAAAACAAGGUGUCAGCAAAGGCAUUAGUGAGAAGAUGGCAUCUGGGUAAAGACCACAAAACAGGGUCUUCAUUGUAAUAAUAAUAAAACAACAUUUGAACUGAACUAAAGCCUAUGAUUUUAGAGCCAAUAGAAUCAUCCAUCUGCUUUUCCAGGUGUGCUUCUCUGAUAGCGACCUCUACCUCAUCUCUGGGAAUCUAGUAGUGAAGAGGAAUCCCUUCUCUAUGGACUGUAUCCACAAAGCAGGUGCAUUCACAUCAUAAAAGCUCAGUAAGGUGCCUGCCAGAUCACUACAAAAUCUGCACAUGAAGAUCUUUAUCUAUCACAGCAAAAGUGUGCAGAGCUUGUAACAGUGGUUCCCAAACCGAUUUGCACAUUAGUGUCAAAUCUUAUAUAUCUAUCUUAUAUAUCUAUAUAUCAUGCUGAGGCCCCAUCCUAGAACAAUUAAAUCCGAAUCACUAUAGAUAGGUCCCAGAUACCAGUAUUUUUUACAAGUCCUCAGAUAAUUCUAAUAUGAAACCAGGGUUGAGAACUACUAGCCUGAAGCUUCUCUAAUGUGGUCUGCAGACCAGUUGCAUCUCCUGGGAAACUCAGAAAUGCAGAAUCUCAGACCCCACCUGAGACUAACUAAACCAGAAUCUGCAAUGUAAUACCAUUCCCAGUAUUUCUGUGCACAUUCAAGUAUGAGAAUCACUGGCCUAGCGAUUUUCACUGGUCUUGCAUUGUGUGGGCAAGUUCUAAAUGACACUCAUAAGAUGAAGCAAACCCUCACCUUGAAGAUUACACUGAUCCAGCAGUAUAAAUGUAUAUAAAUGUAAAGCAAUCCCCCAGAAACCAGCUGGGACAGCUCCCUAUACGUGGAAAGAAUGUUAGAGGCAAGUCCUAUCAAUAUACGGAGCAGGGCAUUGGCUUGAAGUGAAACAGUUACUAGUACAUCCCUAGUUGAAUCUAGGGAGGCCCGGGAUGGAACUGG